AGGACACAUAGGUAGAGUCCAUGGUGUGGUGCAGGUAGAACUGUGUCAGGUAGAAGAGGUGAUAGGUAGAACUGUGUCAGGUAGAAGAGGUGAUAGGUAGAACUGUGUCAGGUAGAAGAGGUGAUAGGUAGAACAGUGUCAGGUAGAAGAGGUGGUGAGGUAGAACUGUGUCAGGUAGAACUGUGUCAGGUAGAAGAGGUGAUAGGUAGAACUGUGUCAUGUAGAAGAGGUGAUAGGUAGAACUGUGUCAGGUAGAAGAGGUGAUAGGUGUGGUACCAGAUGGGACAGGACACAUCAACUUGAUAGACGGCAAUAAGAAUUUCACAGGACAUAAAACACAAUGUCACUAACCAUAAAGUGAAUGUCAUAACCUUGACUUGCCCAUUACAUACUGUCUCUACACUCUCCAGUACUCAUAGUGCCAUAAAAAACAAGCCUGGCAAUACAACGUUGUAGAGCAAG
Oncorhynchus tshawytscha (Chinook salmon) is the source of this 462-nucleotide long non-coding RNA. NCBI's taxonomy places the organism in Eukaryota, Metazoa, Chordata, Actinopteri, Salmoniformes, Salmonidae. The record is from Ensembl.